Molecule: ribosomal RNA, 500 nt
Filed under: uncultured bacterium
Lineage: Bacteria
Description: partial 16S ribosomal RNA
Rfam family: Bacterial small subunit ribosomal RNA
Source: RNAcentral
AUUGAACGCUGGCGGAAUGCUUUACACAUGCAAGUCGAACGGCAGCACGGACUUCGGUCUGGUGGCGAGUGGCGAACGGGUGAGUAAUGUAUCGGAACGUGCCCAGUCGUGGGGGAUAACGUAGUGAAAAUUACGCUAAUACCGCAUCAGAUCUAUGGAUGAAAGCGGGGGAUCGCAAGACCUCGCGCGAUUGGAGCGGCCGCUAUCAGAUUAGGUAGUUGGUGGGGUAAAGGCCCACCAAGCCAACGACCAGUAGCUGGUCUGAGAGGACGCCCAGCCACACUGGAACUGAGACACGGUCCAGACUCGUACGGGAGGCAGCAGUGGGGAAUUUUGGACAAUGGGCGAAAGCCUGAUCCAGCCAUUCCGCGUGCAGGAUGAAGGCCCUCGGGUUGUAAACUGCUUUUGUACAGAACGAAAAGGUUUCUACUAAUACUAGGAGCUCAUGACGGUACUGUAAGAAUAAGCACCGGCUAACUACGUGCCAGCCGCCGCCGUAA